Molecule: ribosomal RNA, 466 nt
Filed under: uncultured bacterium
Lineage: Bacteria
Description: bacterial SSU rRNA
Rfam family: Bacterial small subunit ribosomal RNA
Source: RNAcentral
AUACGGGAGGCAGCAGUGAGGAAUUUUGGACAAUGGGCGCAAGCCUGAUCCAGCCAUGCCGCGUGUGUGAAGAAGGCCUUCGGGUUGUAAAGCACUUUCGGCCGGAACGAAAUCGCGCGGGCUAUUACCCUGCGUGGAUGACGGUACCGGAAGAAGAAGCACCGGCUAACUACGUGCCAGCAGCCGCGGUAAUACGUAGGGUGCGAGCGUUAAUCGGAAUUACUGGGCGUAAAGGGUGCGCAGGCGGCCCCGCAAGUCAGGCGUGAAAUCCCCGGGCUUAACCUGGGAAUGGCGCUUGAAACUACGGGGCUGGAGUAUGGCAGAGGGAGGUGGAAUUCCACGUGUAGCGGUGAAAUGCGUAGAGAUGUGGAGGAACACCGAUGGCGAAGGCAGCCUCCUGGGCCAAUACUGACGCUCAUGCACGAAAGCGUGGGGAGCAAACAGGAUUAGAUACCCGGGUAGUCCC